UACGUAGGGGGCAAGCGUUGUCCGGAUUUAUUGGGCGUAAAGAGCGUGUAGGCGGCCUGGUAGGUCAGUUGUGAAAACUCGAGGCUCAACCUCGAGACGCCGAUUGAAACCAUCAGGCUAGAGUCCGGAAGAGGAGAGUGGAAUUCCCGGUGUAGCGGUGAAAUGCGCAGAUAUCGGGAAGAACACCCGUGGCUAAGUCGGCUCUCUAGUACGGUACUGACGCUGAGACGCGAAAGCGUGGGGAGCGAACAGG
RNAcentral lists this ribosomal RNA (253 nucleotides) under uncultured bacterium. Its description in RNAcentral is "partial 16S ribosomal RNA". It matches the Rfam family "Bacterial small subunit ribosomal RNA", at positions 524 to 776 of the family's 1533-position model. The record is from RNAcentral.